UGCGUAGGUGGCUGGUUAAGUUUGAGGUGAAAGCUCCGAGCUCAACUCGGAAAAUGCCUUGAAGACUAUCUGACUAGAGGAUUGGAGGGGGAGAUUGGAAUUCUCGGUGUUGCAGUGAAAUGCGUAGAUAUCGAGAGGAACACCAGUGGCGAAGGCGAAUCUCUGGACAAUUCCUGACACUGAGGCACGAAAGCCAAGGGAGCAAACG
RNAcentral lists this ribosomal RNA (208 nucleotides) under uncultured bacterium. Its description in RNAcentral is "partial 16S ribosomal RNA". It matches the Rfam family "Bacterial small subunit ribosomal RNA", at positions 568 to 774 of the family's 1533-position model. The record is from RNAcentral.